AUUCUGACGGAUUCCCGAUGGAUAUCAUUUUUUGGUUUCGUCGGAAUUUCAUCGAGAUUUCCUUAAAAGUUUUCGACGGAUUUUUUUCAGUCAGGAAUCCCGUCAGUAAUUGCCUUGUUUUUUGUAGUGCGAGAAAUAUUAGAAGAGAGACAAAACGGAAAUUCGAUCUUGGUCCAAAAGUUUAAUUGGUUCAAGUGUUUUUGUUUUUGUGAGCUUCGAAGAAAGUUAAGGGCAUGAUUAACCCCGGUCUCUUAGCCGGGGUUCUUAACUCAUGAUUUGACAUUUUUUGUUUUUUUUUAAACACUUUUCAGCUAAGAGACGGCUCUUAGAGCAUAAUUAACGGGACAGCUCUUAAGGCACAAGUUUUUAGGUGUUUUCUAUUUUUAUUUUUGGUUUUAUAAAAAAAAAAAAAAUUCGAACCAAUCGCGGGCCGCCACGUAUCGGUGGGGCCCGCGCACUGUCCAAAACCCAAACUAAAGUCACCUCUUACGGGAGAGGCAGAAGGGGCAACUCUUGAUUAUUAGAUGGGACCCACUCAUUUUUAAAUAUUUUUUUUUAAAAGACAGCAACAAGAGUUGCCGUUAAAGGUUCUCUUAUAUCUCUUAU
This 606-nucleotide long non-coding RNA is filed under the name Brassica rapa (field mustard). RNAcentral's name for it is "long non-coding RNA (BRAP_LNC001451)". Lineage: Eukaryota; Viridiplantae; Streptophyta; Magnoliopsida; Brassicales; Brassicaceae. The record is from RNAcentral.